Molecule: long non-coding RNA, 739 nt
Filed under: Rosa chinensis
Lineage: Eukaryota; Viridiplantae; Streptophyta; Magnoliopsida; Rosales; Rosaceae
Description: sRNA RchiOBHm_Chr4g0424541
Source: RNAcentral
GGUUUCUGGGUUACCUUCUGCUCCGCCGUGUUCUUCAACGCCGACAACUUCUCCUGCCUUUCUGGGCUUCGUUUCUUGCUCUGCUGCACUCAUAGGCUAACAAUUUGAAAAGCUUUCUGGUUGUUGGCAUCACACUCACCAGUUCAUCUUCGGCAGUGACAUGGGAAAUUGGGUUUUCAUCAUCAGGCUUGUCCUGGGAACUGAGUUGGGUUGAUUAAAGUUGAUUUCCGAUUUCGAAGGUAUAAUCUCGAACUAGAAUCACGUUUUGUUCUUGUGUUAGUGAUUGGAAGUUAUGGAACUGAGUGGUUUGAUAUGGUGAAAUUGAAGACUCUGUUAUCGAAUUGGUUAUGUUGUCUUGUUUAUGGUGUUUUAAGUUGUUGCAAGUAAAUAUGGGAAUUGAUAUUUGAAUUGAGAUUGUGGACUGAAAUUGGCUGCACAUGUUGCUUGUGCUUACGGUGAAUCUGCAUUUAUGAGAAUGGUGAAUUGGAUUGGACUGGGUUGCUCGUAUGAAGUUGUUGAUAUGUAAUCGGGUUCUAGAAUUGCUUUUGGAACUGGGCUUGUGGUUUAAGAAUUUGCUGAUCGAUUACAGAGGAAUUGGCUAUGGCUAAAGCUCUCUAUCUUUAUAUCUCCACUGUAUUUAAAGGUUCAAACUUGAAAGCAGAGGAGGAUUGAUUCUCAGUACCCAAUCGCAUUACGAUUUUAGAAGCCAUGGAAGUGAAAAUUUGUGACAGAUGAACUC